Molecule: ribosomal RNA, 496 nt
Filed under: uncultured bacterium
Lineage: Bacteria
Description: partial 16S ribosomal RNA
Rfam family: Bacterial small subunit ribosomal RNA
Source: RNAcentral
GAUGAACGCUGGCGGCGUGCCUAAUACAUGCAAGUCGAGCGAACGGACGAGAAGCUUGCUUCUCUGAUUUUAGCGGCGGCCGGGUGAGUAACACGUGGAUAACCUCCUUUUAAGACUGGGAUAACUUCGGGAAACCAGAGCUAAUACCGGAUAAUAUUUUGAACCGCUUGGUUCAAAAGUGAAAGACGGUCUUGCUUUCACUUAUAGAUGGAUCCGCGCUGCAUUAGCUAGUUGGUAAGGUAACGGCUUACCAAGGCAACGAUGCAUAGCCGACCUGAGAGGGGGAUCGGCCACACAGGGACUGAGACACGGUCCAGAGUCCUACGGGAGGCAGCAGUAGGGAAUCUACCGCAAUGGGCGAAAGCCUGACGUAGCAACGCCGCGUGAGUGAUGAAGGUCUUCGGAUCGUAAAACUCUGUUAUUAGGGAAGAACAUAUGUGUAAGGAACGGUGCACAUCUUGACGGUACCUAAUCAGAAAGCCACGGCGAACUACGU